AAGUGCAUACUUUCAGGGAUCAUUUCUAUAGUUAGUUCCUUCAGAACAUUUCAGAGUGCUGGUUUGGUAGUCAUGAAUUUCUUCAGAUGUUCUUCAUCAUGGAAGUAUCUUAUUUCUCUGUCAGUUUUGAAAGAUAGUUUUGCAGGGUACAUCAAUCUGG
This 160-nucleotide small nucleolar RNA is filed under the name Fukomys damarensis (Damara mole-rat). RNAcentral's name for it is "Small nucleolar RNA U3". It matches the Rfam family "Small nucleolar RNA U3". From Rfam's summary of the family: Small nucleolar RNAs (snoRNAs) are involved in the processing and modification of rRNA in the nucleolus. There are two main classes of snoRNAs: the box C/D class, and the box H/ACA class. The record is from Rfam by way of RNAcentral. Lineage: Eukaryota; Metazoa; Chordata; Mammalia; Rodentia; Bathyergidae.